GCUACUGUCACCCACGUCCUUGAUCUGCCAUCGAGCAGAUGUGAGAGAACGUGCGCCAGGGUGGAGCAUCCUGCCUGGUGUGCGAGGAAACCGAGAGGACGUCAUGACCAUCGAGGAAGCGCUCGCCCUGCCCGUCGCGGUUAAGUUCGACGACUCGAACCGAGCCCUCGGCCUUGGGCGGACCACGGCGUACGAGUUGGCGCGGCGCGAUGAGUACCCGCUGCCGCUGCUCAGGCUCGGCCGGAGCUACCGCGUCCGGCGAGCGGACAUCCUCCGCUACCUGGGCAUCGAGGACCAGAUCACCGCCGCCCCCGCGGCGGCAUGAAAUCGGCCCCCACCAGGGACGCCACAUCCCCGGUGAGGGCCUAGCGCCACCCCUUCCCCUGCAACAGCACGGGCCCCGGAUCGCGACCAAACGAAGCCCGGGGCCCUGCCGAAAGAAAGAGAACGACGCAUGCCCAUGAUGGCAGAAACCGCCGCCAUCCCGUCGACGCUGCUCGACGCCGACCGCGCCGCCACCGACCCGGCCGCCGCCGAUCAGCGGGCCCGCACCCUCGUCGGUUCCGUCGAGGCGAACGCAGUCGCCACCGCCGAGACCGCCAUCGGCGCCGCCCUGUACGCCGCCCACUCCGGUCCCGACCGCAACCCCGCGCCCGGUGUCCGCAUUGGACGCGCCGCCAACGCCGUGCAGGACGUCACCGCCCGCGCCCGCGCCGCGAACACCGGCCUGCCCCUGUCGGACGCCUACCUGCACCAGUUCCACCACGCCGCCGAGCAGUGGCGCCAGCACGCCCGCGCCGAGGCCCUCGCGGCCGGUGGCGACGAGGACCAGGCCGACCGCUUCGCCCUGGCCACCAUGCGCGCCCUCGUCCGCGCGAUGGAGGCCGGCCAGUGACCAGCACCCCGCGCGAACUGCGCCGCCGCCACCUGGCAGCCCUCCGCACGCCGCCGCUGGCUUGCGGUCACCGAGACCCCAUCCGGUGUGCCGUCGUCCCGCACGGCCGUUCCUCGUACGGCCUGACCGUGCGCGAGCUGCUCGCCGAGCGAUCCCGCCUGCUCACCGCCGGAUGGACCCCCGGCGAGGUCGACACUCGUUUGAACGCGCGGGAGGCGAUCGCAGCAUGACCGCGCCCCGCCUGAACCCCGCCGCAACCGACGCCGUCGCCCUGUGGGCAUCCGCCCAGGUGACCGCGCUCGGAGUCGACACAUGGCCGCCCUAUGGCUCGCCCGCCUGGCGAGCCCUCGUCACCGACGACCCACGCAAGGCCGCCGCCAUCUUCGAGGCCGCCGAGCAGUGGCGCCAGCACCGCGCCGAGGCCGACGAACUCGACCGCCUACUCGUCGACGACCCCGAAGCGUGGUUCCGCUGGGUGACCGCCGACGCGGACGCCGAGGCACGCCGCAUCGCGCCCGCCCUGGCGAAACGGCCCACGGUCGCCGAGACGAGGGCCCGCGCCGGCCACCGCCCGCCGCGACCCGUCACCGCCACGCCCGGAUGGCCGCCCGUCGCCGUCCCUGGCCGCCCCGACUACCGCCGCCACUUUGUCGAGGGGCGCCAAGUCGACCUCCCCGCCAGCCACCGCCAGGAGCACGCCGCCUGAUGACCCCCGCCGCCUACGGCGACGCCGUGCCACCCGCCGGGCCCGAGCCCGAGCGGGUGGUACCGCUGUUCCGCCACCUGUCGCCCGACUACGAACCGCCGCCCGCCGAGACGCAGGCCGAGGCGCCGCACCUUCCGGCGCCCACCCACCCGAUGGCCGUUGCCCGCGCGCUGCUGCCCGCAUGGCAGGCCCACGGCAUGCCAUCGCUCCGCUACUGGCGCGGUCAGUGGAUGCGGUGGCGCGGACCGCACUGGGACGAGGAAGACAGUGCAGCGAUGCGCGCCGACCUCUACCCGCGUCUCGAACACGCCACAUACACCGCGACCGAUCGCAACGGCCAGGAGAGGACCGCGGAAUGGGCGCCCACGUCCGCCAAGGUCGCGAACCUCAUGGAGGCCCUGGCCGCGAUCGUGCACCUGCCCGGUGACGUCGAGCCUCCGACGUGGCUCGCCGCCCCCGACCGCGAGGGCGAACGCCGAACGAUCGUCGCGUGCCGGAACGGCCUGCUCGACGUCACCACACGUGCCCUGCACCCGCUCACGCCUGCCUACUUCAACCGCGUCUCCGUCCCCUUCGACUACGACCCGGAGACCCCGACCCCGGCGCGGUGGAUCGGCUUCCUACGCUCCGUUUGGACCGACGACCCGGAAGCCAUCGACGCCCUACAGGAGUGGUUCGGAUACGUCCUGUCCGGACGGACCGACCUGCACAAGAUGCUGUUGAUCGUCGGCCCCAUGCGCUCCGGAAAGGGCACCAUCGCCCGCACCCUCACCGCCCUCGUCGGGAAACGCAACAUGUCCGGCCCGACCAUGUCGAGCCUCGCCACGAACUUCGGUCUGGCCGACCUCGUCGGCAAGUCCCUGGCCGUCGUCGCCGAUGCUCGCCUACCUCGCCAGGGCACCGAGACGAUCGUCGAGCGGCUGCUCACCAUCACCGGUGAGGACGCCGUCACCGUCGACCGCAAGCACAAAGAACCGUGGUCUGGCCGUCUCCCGGCGCGGUUCAUGCUGCUGUCCAACGAACUGCCGGCGUUCCGCGACUCAUCAGGCGCGAUCGCAUCCCGGUUGCUCAUCCUCACCAUGACGAUCAGCAACCUCGGCCGCGAGGACACGUCCCUUGACCGCGACCUCUCGCGCGAACUGCCUGGCAUCCUCAACUGGGCACUCGACGGACUCGACCGGCUCACCCGCCGUGGGCGCCUCGUCGAGCCCGCCUCGUCGGCCGAAGCCGUAGCCCUGCUCAACGCCAGCACCAGCCCGAUCCGCGCCUUCCUCGCCGACUGGUGCCAUCUCGACCCCGAAGCCAGCACCCCGAAGGACGAGCUGUACGAGAUGUGGCGCGAUUGGUGCCGUACGGAGGGGCGCGACCACCCGGGCACCAAGCCCACAUUCAGCCGUGACCUGUUCGCCGCAGGUCUCGGCAUCAAGGAAUCCAAGAUCCGCAUCGGUGGCAUCCGGACACCGUCGUACGUAGGCGUCCGACUCGACCGCCCAACACCGCGCCCCGGGUGGUCCGGGUAGCGGUCCGGGAUCGGUCCGGGCGUUAU
This 3147-nucleotide ribosomal RNA is filed under the name Streptomyces mutabilis. The record is from RNAcentral. Lineage: Bacteria; Bacillati; Actinomycetota; Actinomycetes; Kitasatosporales; Streptomycetaceae.